Kogia breviceps (pygmy sperm whale) is the source of this 1937-nucleotide non-coding RNA. The record is from RefSeq and is a predicted model, not a curated record. Lineage: Eukaryota; Metazoa; Chordata; Mammalia; Artiodactyla; Physeteridae.
CCGCCCGCGUCCGGGAGCCGGCGGCCAGGGGACCCGCUGCCAAGGAGAGGGCGGCGGCGGGGCCGGGAACGCGCGGCCCGGCCUGGCUGAGGAACCAGCAGGCCCCCACAGGCCCUCGUACAGUGCCUCCAGGGACUUAAACCUGCCGCAGCCAUGUGAUUACCCUGAUCUAUUUGCUGGGAGAUGAGCAAAGCUCGGAGAGGGACCAGAUCUCAGCAGAGACCAAACCAGCAGCAGUUCCUGAACACCCACCCCCCAGUGCUUCCAGAAGUGCACCAUGGACCAACCUGUGAGCAUUUGCUCUUCCUCAGGGGCACGUUCCCUUUUCAAAGAAGAGUUCAGCAGUGCUUUCACCCAGAGGACUAACUUCUGAGAAAUAAAACAGCUGGGAGACAGAAGGAAGUAGCUGAUCAUUCUUCUAAAAGAGACCUUAAAGGAUAAAACAAAAGUGUGAAAACAGUAGAGUACAGGACCAGUACCCCCCAAGUUAUCUGCAUGACAAGAAGUUGUUGUCAGGCACCUGAAAAUGUCAAGUCCUCUGAACUGGGCAGAAAAGAUGGUGAUGAGUAAAGACAAAGUAUACGCUGGAUGAAAGCUACAUGUCCAAAAAUUGGUGUUAAAAAAGAUAAAAAACAACUUGGAGGUUAAAAAAAAGGACAAAGUGAACAUGUAAGUACUUAUAAGAUAACUAUUACAUACAAAUUAAGGAGAUAAAAGAGAGAUGGCUGGAUUAAAGCACAGAAAGCUUGAUCAAUCUAUCAAUGUAAAAGAAUCAAGUAUUUUUAUCUUUGUAUCCACAAGAAUAAUAAUGAAAUUAUGGCUUUUAAUCAAACUCAGUUAUGUUUAGAGGUGAGAAAAAGAACAAUCAUUGUUUAUCUCAAUUCACUUAGAUUAAAAGAAAAAGAUACUUGUUCAGAAAAAGAAAAAAAAAAAAAGAGGAAAUUUUCAUUCCUGAUAGGCAGUAAGCUAGGGUUCAAAGUAUGUCCAGUGUCAUAAGAGAAAGCUGUUAUCGGAGGGAACUUCAUCAUGCUGAGGACAGCUGCCCCAAAGAGAAAUCUCAUAAUUUCCAACUUGCUGGAAAGAAGAAUCUUGAACCCCCUCUAAAUCCUUUCUCCCCGUCACUAAAAGAGCAGGCUGCUGAAGCAUUAAGAGACACUUAUUGAAUGUAUUCUAGAAGAAGGUUCUAUUCUGAGAUCCCUGGAGAACAGGCUGGACUCAAAAAAUUUCUGCUGCGCAAGUUCUCAGAGGGACAGUUCCAGCAGGAGGUCUAAGGAAAAGAGGCAGAUUUCUCCUUCUGACUCUUUAAAUAGGAUCUAAAACCAUUUAGCCCUGCUACAAAACCCACAUUUUAAGUUUUCUCACAACCAAACAUGUUCUGAAAGGUUUGCCACACUGAGCACACUCUCAACCCCAAGCUCAAAGAAAAAGGGCCCUCUGCUAAAGGGGUCCAACUGGUGUAUGUGUGGUUGGGGGGAGGGGAAAAGGGGGGACGGACACUGGAGACCUACAUUACAUUCUGCCUUAAACGGUAUUCUAAUUAGGUACUCUUGCUUACCUAGGAAUGUGUCCAGAGCAAGCCUUCCUUUCCUGGAAGGAUAAGUGUAUCUGCUAUUACAAUGAGAAGUCUGUCAAGAGUUGAAAUUCAAAGAAAGUAAUUGUUCAUUAGGUUCACAGUGCACAGAACACCAUGCCAGAAUACAGCGGCAGUUAGGACUAGAUCCGAGUUAAGGCAGGCAGCCUAUGACACUUGGAAUGGACUGAGGAACACCACCACACCCUACUCUUAUCUCCUCCUCUUCCCUUUAUUACCUUUCUUGCUCUCUUCUCAUGGCUCAGAUCUGUUGGUGGCAUCUGUAUUUUGACCCCUUAGUGAGAAGCCAUCAAGACCUCGGUAGUUAUUUGUUCUACACUCAUCUCUUCUCAGGAAAUUAAAAAAU